UACACCGCCUGGCGCGCCACCACCACCUACUCCGCCAGCGCGCCACCAUCUCGACCUGGCUCCCCAACCUCCCGCACCUUCUCCCCUGCACAUUGGGAGGCCCACACCUACCCCGACGCCGGCUGUCGAGCCCACCUCCGCCUACCUCUAGCGCCACCACAACCUCUCCGCUCGGCCCCAGGCCCCCAGAUCCAGCGAGGUCUGUCCACAACCUCACCUCUCCUGCCUGGAUCUUGCGAGCACCGCCCAUUUGCCUCCCCCGUCAGUUAAGAUCCUGGCCUCUGUUGCUUCCCCUACCAGCCAAGCUCCCUCGCCGUCCCAACACCUCUAUAGCCCCUUUCGGCGGCCGUUGGCCGAUGGAGCUGCCUCUCCAUGGAAAGGAAAAGAGGCGCGCGAGGUCGAGGGGUGCAGCCAGAGGCCCGUCGGGGCACGACCACCGGAUGGAGCUCGGCUGCGUGCCGACCACCUUCCCUACCCCCAGCGCGGCCCAUCAAGGCUCGAGGCCCCCGUUGAGUGAGCCACUACCCGUGCGACCACACUCCGCCACCAACGCGCACCAACUCUGCCGCUAACUGAUGCUAGUUGUUAUUAGUUGUUGCUAAUUACUAUUGUUAACUACUACUACUGUGUCACGGUCCUGGUAGUUAACUAUCGCUUGCAUUCCGCAUAUCUUCAUCAGUAUUUUUAAUCCUGGCAGUUAACUAUCACAGUUUUAACAAUUAGCUAUUCCGAUUCUGUAGUUAACUUCUGUAGUUAGCGUCCAUGGUCUGGUUCGCCACAUGGGCCUCCCCACUUCUCCACAGAGUGCUUCAGAAGCACACUGGCCCCAGCCGCAUGCUCCAUCGCGCUAGGGAUCGAUGAGGUGCAGGACCUCGAUGGGGAUUCGCUGGUGGAGCAACCUCCUAGUCCACCUCCUCCAUGCUAGCCUCUGGCACUACCGCGCCUCUCAGUUGUCUACUACACCACCACAGUCGACAACCACCUAGAGAGAGGCCCCGAGCCAUCGAGCACUGUCGGCGAGAUUUUUUGCAUGCAUAUUCGUCAGUUAGCUGCAUAUUUGUAUCUCUGUCAAUUAGCUAUUAACACUUCUUCAGUUAGCUAUUACCAUUCAUGCAGCUAGCAUUUCCAUGAACAACCUGACAUGUCCUAGUGGUGCAAGAGAAGUAUCAAGGCUAGGCAUUAGAUGGUGUCUGACUCCCCAUGGGGUUCAUUCAGGAUAAGAAGAAAAAUACACAGGAGCCAUCAUCGAGAGGCUGGAAGAAACAUGGGUAAGAAAGAAAUCGAACACUUGGAUACCCGUUCUCUGGGACUUUCUUGUGAGGAUCAAGUCUGAACAUAUUGUUCUAGUGGUGCUCUGUACGGGUUGACACUUAAUUCGUGGAUGUGGUUGCCUCCAGGCACACGCUGACGCGCACAAAGUGGCGUUUCAGAAGUCCGACUUGUCCUUCAUCUGCAUGAUGGGACAUUUGUCUAGCGUUAUCCAAAUCAACGAAAUAGAUAAUCAGUGGAUGCCGCUUGAGGAGUUCCUGAAGAAUCUGUUUAUCCAGGAGGACCACAUGUUCCAGAAGAUUCUGGACAUCUACAUCCAGCAGCUAAGGGAGUGCUACUGCGGCCUGAAGAAACGCAUAUUUAACUUUAAAAUUUGCAGCAGUUAAAAACCUAAAAAGAUGAAAAAAAACGAUAGUUAAGUUUGUAUUUCUUUGCAGCAAUUGAACUUUCUCUUGCGUUGUGCAUCUUCCUUCAGUUAACUUUGUAUAUUUUUAAUAGUUUACUUUUACUAGAUGAAGGUGAGUUCUGUUAGAGCACAAAUAUGUGUAUGGUUUAAAGAUUGAGGCUGUUUGCUUGAUUUUAAAAAUUCUAAAAAUAAUUGGUGCAGUU
Molecule: long non-coding RNA, 1878 nt
Organism: Triticum aestivum (bread wheat)
Lineage: Eukaryota; Viridiplantae; Streptophyta; Magnoliopsida; Poales; Poaceae
Exons: 4
Source: RefSeq, a predicted model, not a curated record